This 639-nucleotide ribosomal RNA is filed under the name uncultured bacterium. RNAcentral's name for it is "bacterial SSU rRNA". It matches the Rfam family "Bacterial small subunit ribosomal RNA", at positions 194 to 851 of the family's 1533-position model. The record is from RNAcentral.
ACUGAGGGAAAAGGAUUUAUUCGCUUUAGGAUGGACUCGCGUCCAAUUAGCUAGUUGGUGAGGUAACGGCCCACCAAGGCGACGAUUGGUAGCCGGACUGAGAGGUUGAACGGCCACAUUGGGACUGAGACACGGCCCAGACUCCUACGGGAGGCAGCAGUGGGGGAUAUUGCACAAUGGGGGAAACCCUGAUGCAGCGACGCCGCGUGGAGGAAGAAGGUUUUCGGAUUGUAAACUCCUGUCGUUAGGGACGAUAAUGACGGUACCUAACAAGAAAGCACCGGCUAACUACGUGCCAGCAGCCGCGGUAAAACGUAGGGUGCAAGCGUUGUCCGGAAUUACUGGGUGUAAAGGGAGCGCAGGCGGGAAGACAAGUUGGAAGUGAAAACCAUGGGCUCAACCCAUGAAUUGCUUUCAAAACUGUUUUUCUUGAGUAGUGCAGAGGUAGAUGGAAUUCCCGGUGUAGCGGUGGAAUGCGUAGAUAUCGGGAGGAACACCAGUGGCGAAGGCGGUCUACUGGGCACCAACUGACGCUGAGGCUCGAAAGCAUGGGUAGCAAACAGGAUUAGAUACCCUGGUAGUCCAUGCCGUAAACGAUGAAUACUAGGUGUUGGGGGAUUGACCCCCUCAGUGCCGCAG